AACCCAAGCCCAUGUACACCCAUGACUCGACCUAAUCUCACCUACCUUGGGCCCAGACCUAGCCCAUAAAGAGUUGGUCCUUUGAGGCCCACAUAACCUAGACCUCAAGAACCCGAAAGGCCCACAGCCUUUCAACCUAGGGCCCAACUAGCCCUAGAGCCUCCAUGAAGCCCUCAUGAAUGAUGGACCUUGGCCUUAGCCUUGGUCCCCUGGGCC
RNAcentral lists this long non-coding RNA (216 nucleotides) under Elaeis guineensis (African oil palm). Its description in RNAcentral is "long non-coding RNA (EGUI_LNC061993)". The record is from RNAcentral. Lineage: Eukaryota; Viridiplantae; Streptophyta; Magnoliopsida; Arecales; Arecaceae.